This 601-nucleotide ribosomal RNA is filed under the name uncultured Halomicronema sp. RNAcentral's name for it is "bacterial SSU rRNA". It matches the Rfam family "Bacterial small subunit ribosomal RNA", at positions 73 to 712 of the family's 1533-position model. The record is from RNAcentral. Lineage: Bacteria; Bacillati; Cyanobacteriota; Cyanophyceae; Nodosilineales; Nodosilineaceae.
AGAGCUUUUAGCUCUAGUGGCGGACGGGUGAGUAACACGUGAGAAUCUGCCCUUAGGAGGAGGAUAACAGCUGGAAACGGUUGCUAAUACUCCAUAUGCCGAGAGGUGAAAGGAUUUAUCCACCUAAGGAGGAGCUCGCGUCUGAUUAGCUAGUUGGUAGGGUAAAGGCCUACCAAGGCGACGAUCAGUAGCUGGUUUGAGAGGAUGAUCAGCCACACUGGGACUGAGACACGGCCCAGACUCCUACGGGAGGCAGCAGUAGGGAAUUUUCCGCAAUGGGCGAAAGCCUGACGGAGCAAUACCGCGUGAGGGAUGACGGCCUGUGGGUUGUAAACCUCUUUUCUCAAGGAAGAAGUUCUGACGGUACUUGAGGAAUAAGCAUCGGCUAACUCUGUGCCAGCAGCCGCGGUAAUACAGAGGAUGCAAGCGUUAUCCGGAAUCACUGGGCAUAAAGCGUCUGUAGGUUGUUUGGUAAGUCUGCUGUUAAAGACUGGGGCUCAACCCCAGAAAAGCAGUGGAAACUGCCGGACUUGAGUGUGGUAGAGGUAGAGGGAAUUCCUAGUGUAGCGGUGAAAUGCGUAGAUAUUAGGAAGAACACCAA